CCUACGGGUGGCUGCAGUGGGGAAUAUUGGGCAAUGGGCGCAAGCCUGAUCCAGCAACGCCGCGUGAAGGAAGAAGGCUUUCGGGUUGUAAACUUCUUUCAAGAGGGAAGAGCAGAAGGCUGUAUCUGUUGAAAAAGCCACGUCUAACUACGUGCCAGCAGCCGCGGUAAUACGGAGGUGGAAAGUGUUCUGCGGAUUUACGGGGGGUAAAGGGCGUGCAGCCGGGAAGACAAGUCAGAUGUGAAAGCCGGCGGCUCAACCGCGGGACUGCAUUUGAAACUGUUUGUCUAGAGUGCAGGAGAGGUCAUCGGAAUUCCUUGUGUAGCGGUGAAAUGCGUAGAUAUAAGGAGGAACACCAGUGGCGAAGGCGGAUGACUGGACGGCAACUGACGGUGAGGCGCGAAAGCGUGGGGAGCAAACAGGAUUAGAUACCCCUGUAGUC
This 442-nucleotide ribosomal RNA is filed under the name uncultured bacterium. RNAcentral's name for it is "partial 16S ribosomal RNA". It matches the Rfam family "Bacterial small subunit ribosomal RNA", at positions 338 to 795 of the family's 1533-position model. The record is from RNAcentral.